CAAAGAAUAGUUUAUAAAAAUAUUAAUUUUGGAGAUUAAUGAUAGAAGUAACUUCUUUCUUUGA
Molecule: transfer RNA, 64 nt
Filed under: Ectobiidae sp. BB
Lineage: Eukaryota; Metazoa; Arthropoda; Insecta; Blattodea; Ectobiidae
Description: tRNA-Pro
Source: RNAcentral